ACUGAAGUGGGUGUUAGAUUUCAAGAUGGUGUUAAAGCUUAUAAAAGGACUUACUACACCCCAGAGUAUGAAACUAAGGAUACUGAUAUCUUGGCAGCAUUCUGAGUAUGUCCUCAGCCUGGGGUUCUGCCCAAAUUAGCAGGGGAUGCAGUAGCUGCCGAAUCUUCUACUCGUACAUGGACAACUGUUAAUGGACCCAUGAAAUACAUUGAGAUUGGAAAGAACACCAAUGGUGACACUCUGCUAGGCGACAAAGAGAGACGGCAAGCAAAUGGGAUUAGAGACCCCAAUAGUCCUAGCAUAAACAAUGAAUACUAG
RNAcentral lists this ribosomal RNA (318 nucleotides) under Triticum aestivum (bread wheat). RNAcentral's name for it is "partial small subunit ribosomal RNA". Lineage: Eukaryota; Viridiplantae; Streptophyta; Magnoliopsida; Poales; Poaceae. The record is from RNAcentral.